RNAcentral lists this ribosomal RNA (481 nucleotides) under uncultured bacterium. Its description in RNAcentral is "partial 16S ribosomal RNA". It matches the Rfam family "Bacterial small subunit ribosomal RNA", at positions 355 to 825 of the family's 1533-position model. The record is from RNAcentral.
UGGGGAAUCUUCCGCAAUGGACGAAAGUCUGACGGAGCAACGCCGCGUGAGUGAUGACGGCCUUCGGGUUGUAAAGCUCUGUGAUCGGGGACGAAUGGCUGGUAUGCUAAUACCAUAUCAGAGUGACGGUACCCGAAUAGCAAGCCACGGCUAACUACGUGCCAGCAGCCGCGGUAAUACGUAGGUGGCAAGCGUUGUCCGGAAUUAUUGGGCGUAAAGCGCGCGCAGGCGGCUUCUUAAGUCCAUCUUAAAAAGUGCGGGGCUUAACCCCGUGAUGGGAUGGAAACUGGGAGGCUGGAGUAUCGGAGAGGAAAGUGGAAUUCCUAGUGUAGCGGUGAAAUGCGUAGAGAUUAGGAAGAACACCAGUGGCGAAGGCGACUUUCUGGACGACAACUGACGCUGAGGCGCGAAAAGCGUGGGGAGCAAACAGGAUUAGAUACCCUGGUAGUCCACGCCGUAAAACGAUGAAUACUAGGUGUAG